This 72-nucleotide transfer RNA is filed under the name Chaetodon modestus (brown banded butterflyfish). RNAcentral's name for it is "tRNA-Asp". It matches the Rfam family "tRNA". From Rfam's summary of the family: Transfer RNA (tRNA) molecules are approximately 80 nucleotides in length. The record is from RNAcentral. Lineage: Eukaryota; Metazoa; Chordata; Actinopteri; Chaetodontiformes; Chaetodontidae.
AAGACGCUAGUAAAAUGAGUAUUACACUGCUUUGUCAGGGCAGUAUUGUAGGUUGAAUUCCUACGUGUCUUG